This 2029-nucleotide long non-coding RNA is filed under the name Ananas comosus (pineapple). RNAcentral's name for it is "long non-coding RNA (ACOM_LNC017978)". The record is from RNAcentral. Lineage: Eukaryota; Viridiplantae; Streptophyta; Magnoliopsida; Poales; Bromeliaceae.
GAGAGGGAGAGAGGAUAAGAUCAAGCCAUUUUGCAACUUAAUCCAUUAAUUUUGCUAUUUGCAAUAUGGUCCCUCAUAAUGAAAUAUUGGCCAAAUUUAUCCGUUUUCGCGUCAAUUUCGCGCCAAAACGGUUUCACCUCAUUUCCACCCUCUUUAUCAAAAGUUCGCAUAUUACAAUUAAAUAUGAUCUAAAUCAUUUAAAACUUCUAGAAAAUAAUUUUUUUAAUUUUUUAAAUUAUUAUAAAGUUUAUAAAGUGGGCAUAAAAUGAAAGGCCAAAAUUGAACAACGACCUAAAAAUGGAUGAUCGGAUCCUUCAAUGUAAGAUCAGAGUUAUUAAUCUUUAUCUAGAUAGUGAAUAGAAUUUUUUUAUAAAAAUUCAACUAAUUUUGAUUCUUUUACGCUAUUAAACUAACAAAGAUCCCAUACCGACCAUUAAAAGUUAUUAAUUUUGAGAUAUUUUGAUCGUAAGGUAAUGAUGUAGAAAAAUUAUGAAAUUUGAUUUCUAUAAGUUUCAAAUACUCUAAAUCAUAUUUAAUGGUAUGGAUCGUUGAUUUAGAUGUGUUAUCAUCAAAAACAACUUAUGAAUAUAAAGAUGAUCGUACUCAUAAGAGUAUAAUAACCAGACUCUAUAUAUAUAGGGACAUACAUCUAUGCUAUAGAUAGGACAAAUCCUUUGUGCUACCCACUCUAUGUUUGAUGAUCAAGCUUUCGAAUCAUCGAUUGACGCCAUUAAACAUAAUUUAGAACAUUCGAAUAAUCUAGCAAUCAUAUAUAUUGUAAUAAUUAUACAUAGAUAAUAUAUAAUAUAUAUAAUAGAAGAAAAUAAUAUAAAAUAAAUUUUCAUUUAUCUUCUUCUUUCAACCAAACAAAUGUGGGUAGAAAACUUUUUUUCCCCUACCAGCCAAAUAAAUGUCAUUUAUAGCCAGCUCCUGAAAGAGUUCGAGAGCUCUCAGCAUUUGGAUUGACGAAUUUCUAGAGUCAACGUAAUUCAAAUGCAAUGGUAUUUGAGUUUUCUUGAAGUGUAGUUUUUUUUUAUUGCUUGUUUUGAUGUAACUCAUACUGUCUGAAAGUUAAAUUCAAUAAUUUUUUUCUAUUUGUUUUGGUAUAACUUGAUGCUGGUGAUAUUAAUGUUUUGAGUUCUAUUAUUUAUUUUGAUCUAAGUAAAUGGAUCUUGUUACCUUCUAAAUAUAGUGAUAAACUUAUUCAUAUAAAAUCCAAUCUAUUAAAUAAUUAAAUCCCACAUUAUUUUUAGAAGUAAUCAAUUACAUAAAAUCCCUUUGUCAAUACCCAUUUUUCACUUUCCCUCCCUGUCAUUUAGAAACCUAUACUUUGCCCCCUUAUAAAAUAAAAAAAUAUUCACAAUGGGUACGGUGUUAACUGUGAUGACAAAAUGACCAAUUCGCCCUUCACCAUUUUUGUUUCCUCCCUAAUCUUGCUCAUCCACUGCCUCUCCUUUUUCAUUUUUCGCACCUCAAUCGGCCGCAGUUCGUCUUCAUUUUCUUCUCCACAUACUCUUUUUUCCUCCUGCACCCUCGUCGCCCCUCCAUUUCGGCGACAGUAGAGAGAAAAUUGAGGUGGGCAUGGAUAGAGAGGUGGGCAAGGGCAAGGGCGAAGGCGAGGUAGUGGAGGAGGGCGAGGGGAUGUUUAUGGGCACGAACAAAGAUGUAGGUGAGGGCGAGGCAGCGGAGAAGGGCGAGGUGGCGAGGAAAGAGGCGACAAUGUUGAGGAGAAGAGGCUGAGAGUAUUUUUGGUAUAAAAAAAUAUAAUAACAUUUUAUAAACGGAAUCCUAACGGAGCGCUAACGGUAGGGCGUGAAGUGAAUAUUUUUUAUUUACAAGGACGCAAAGUGUAGGUUUUUAAAUGACAAGGGGAACGUAAAAAAGCAGAUAUUAACAGGAGGGUUUUUUGUAAUUUAGUUGUCACGCCCCGCGACCACCACUUUGGUCGGUUCGGGUACGUCUACAGACGCUGAACGGACAGAAACUCCCCUGUCCACCCAAGGCUCCACAACAACAAAGCAUGUAUAAA